This 580-nucleotide ribosomal RNA is filed under the name uncultured bacterium. RNAcentral's name for it is "bacterial SSU rRNA". It matches the Rfam family "Bacterial small subunit ribosomal RNA", at positions 102 to 668 of the family's 1533-position model. The record is from RNAcentral.
ACGGGUGAGUAACACGUGGGCAACCUGCCCUUGAGACUGGGAUAACUUCGGGAAACCGGAGCUAAUACCGGAUAAUAUAAGGAACCUCCUGGUUCCUUGUUGAAAGAUGGUUUCGGCUAUCACUUAAGGAUGGGCCCGCGGCGCAUUAGCUAGUUGGUGAGGUAACGGCUCACCAAGGCGACGAUGCGUAGCCGACCUGAGAGGGUGAUCGGCCACACUGGGACUGAGACACGGCCCAGACUCCUACGGGAGGCAGCAGUAGGGAAUCUUCCACAAUGGACGAAAGUCUGAUGGAGCAACGCCGCGUGAGUGAUGAAGGCCUUCGGGUCGUAAAGCUCUGUUGUUAGGGAAGAACAAGUGCGAGAGUAACUGCUCGCACCUUGACGGUACCUAACCAGAAAGCCACGGCUAACUACGUGCCAGCAGCCGCGGUAAUACGUAGGUGGCAAGCGUUAUCCGGAAUUAUUGGGCGUAAAGCGCGCGCAGGUGGUUUCUUAAGUCUGAUGUGAAAGCCCACGGCUCAACCGUGGAGGGUCAUUGGAAACUGGGGAACUUGAGUGCAGAAGAGGAAAGUGGAAUU